This 253-nucleotide ribosomal RNA is filed under the name uncultured bacterium. RNAcentral's name for it is "partial 16S ribosomal RNA". It matches the Rfam family "Bacterial small subunit ribosomal RNA", at positions 524 to 776 of the family's 1533-position model. The record is from RNAcentral.
UACGAAGGGGGCUAGCGUUGUUCGGAUUUACUGGGCGUAAAGCGCACGUAGGCGGAUUGUUAAGUCAGGGGUGAAAUCCUGGAGCUCAACUCCAGAACUGCCUUUGAUACUGGCAAUCUCGAGUCCGGAAGAGGUAAGUGGAACUCCUAGUGUAGAGGUGGAAUUCGUAGAUAUUAGGAAGAACACCAGUGGCGAAGGCGGCUUACUGGUCAGGAACUGACGCUGAGGUGCGAAAGCGUGGGGAGCAAACAGG